Molecule: long non-coding RNA, 516 nt
Organism: Brienomyrus brachyistius
Lineage: Eukaryota; Metazoa; Chordata; Actinopteri; Osteoglossiformes; Mormyridae
Exons: 3
Source: RefSeq, a predicted model, not a curated record
CGCUCAUUACCUCACGGAGUGGGGGCGAGGACCUUGAGGGAUGCAAAUCCGGACAGCGCACCUCCAAGAAGGACCCCUCAGGCAAAGACAAACGGAAGCAUGCAGGAUCCAAUGCGAUAGUCAAUUAGAGGAGGUUCUGCCUGAUUCUGUAGGACCUGACAUCAAAGGCUUCGAUAUCACAUGCAUGCUGCUGGAUGAGUGGGUGGACGGACUCGUUCAGACGGAGGCAUUUUGUCAAAAUGUCACAAGGCAGAGCAGGGGAACGUGAGCGUGAACGAAAGCGAAGUGGCAGCGGCACAAGGCUGAAAAGGAGGGAGCGAGUGGCGCUGCGUAAGCCUUCAUGUCUACAGAUUUGUUUUUAUGUUCAAUAGCAGAAUUGAAUAUCAAAACCUGUUACUUGCUAAGGAUUGCCUCACUUGUAGGUCGCUUUGGGUAAAUGUAUCUGGAGGGAGGUGUGUGGCUCAGUGUCUUAGCAUGCUGUGCCUUUGAUUUGAAGGUCAAAUCCCAAGCCCAGCA